UUGAGAGAGACAUAGUGGUUAUGAUAUUGGCUUGAAACCAAUUCCAGAGGGUUCGACUCCNNNCUUUCUUAU
Molecule: transfer RNA, 72 nt
Filed under: Ursus arctos (brown bear)
Lineage: Eukaryota; Metazoa; Chordata; Mammalia; Carnivora; Ursidae
Description: tRNA-Ser
Source: RNAcentral